GAUGAACGCUGGCGGCGUGCCUAAUACAUGCAAGUCGAGCGAACGGACGAGAAGCUUGCUUCUCUGAUGUUAGCGGCGGACGGGUGAGUAACACGUGGAUAACCUACCUAUAAGACUGGGAUAACUUCGGGAAACCGGAGCUAAUACCGGAUAAUAUUUUGAACCGCAUGGUUCAAAAGUGAAAGACGGUCUUGCUGUCACUUAUAGAUGGAUCCGCGCUGCAUUAGCUAGUUGGUAAGGUAACGGCUUACCAAGGCAACGAUGCAUAGCCGACCGGAGAGGGUGAUCGGCCACACUGGAACUGAGACACGGUCCAGACUCCUACGGGAGGCAGCAGUAGGGAAUCUUCCGCAGUGGGCGAAAGCCUGACGGAGCAACGCCGCGUGAGUGAUGAAGGUCUUCGGAUCGUAAAACUCUGUUAUUAGGGAAGAACAUAUGUGUAAGUAACUGUGCACAUCUUGACGGUACCUAAUCAGAAAGCCACGGCUAACUACGUG
This 497-nucleotide ribosomal RNA is filed under the name uncultured bacterium. RNAcentral describes it as "partial 16S ribosomal RNA". It matches the Rfam family "Bacterial small subunit ribosomal RNA", at positions 28 to 507 of the family's 1533-position model. The record is from RNAcentral.